This is a long non-coding RNA of Polyodon spathula (Mississippi paddlefish), 872 nucleotides long. RefSeq lists it as uncharacterized. The transcript is spliced from 2 exons. NCBI's taxonomy places the organism in Eukaryota, Metazoa, Chordata, Actinopteri, Acipenseriformes, Polyodontidae. The record is from RefSeq and is a predicted model, not a curated record.
CCCAGGGGGGUGGGACUAGCAGUCCUGCUUUUGCACGCUGCGCAGUAGACGAGAUGGUUUUACAGGUUUGGAUGCUGCAAACUUCCUAAGAUUGUGACUAACUGCUUAGAGUUGGAUGCUUUCCUGCACUAAACGUGGAUUUAUGUGGAAAAUCCUCUGAAAUGACCACAAACAGCUUGCUUAUAAAUAAUACCUCUUAUUAGAAUUUUUUUUUUUUUUUUUUUUUUAAAAGGAAAAGAGUAAUAAAUAUUACACUGAAAUACUUCGCAGUGAAGUCUUUUGCUUAAAAAUAGUUUUUGGAGCUUUCAAAAAAAAAAAAAAAAAAAGAAAAAAAAAAAAAAAAAAAACUGGUGGCUUUGCAAGAAUUUUUUUCUUCUUUUUUUCCACCUUUUGGAAGUGUUGUGUAAACCGGCGUAGGAGGAGUUCGUUUAAAACCCGUCAAGAAACGGAAUUUAUUCAUUCACGUUGCUACUGUGAACGGGGCUCGCAAUAUUGAGCAGGAGCUGGUGCUGAUAAAUGCAUCACCGCUUGUAGCAAGCCUUGCGUCACAAGCAGAUGGGUCUCUUCCAAAGAAACGGGAUCUUCAUGGGUUGAGUGUGGCAGAACCAUGUUAUUGAGCGCUCAGUCUUCUCUGGUCUGUGCAUCAGGACCUGUGUAAGGCAUGUUUAGACUUGCGCUUGUAGGCAGGCUUGGUGAACAGUGAGCAGACACCUGCACUGUGGAAGGGACUACUCCAAUCAGCCUGCUUUUGGACCACAGAGCUGGGCAGUUACUAUGCAGUUUGGACUAUUUGUAGUGGUGAUUUCCUUCAGCUUAAUGGAUUAUACAGGCAGCCUCAAGGUCUCAAAGGGAAGGAGGCAGAGACGAAGUAA